This is a non-coding RNA of Misgurnus anguillicaudatus (oriental weatherfish), 441 nucleotides long. Lineage: Eukaryota; Metazoa; Chordata; Actinopteri; Cypriniformes; Cobitidae. The record is from RefSeq and is a predicted model, not a curated record.
CUGAGCUUAGACAUGAUUUUCACAAGUAGGUAAUGCAAUGGGUGAAAAGGCCUACAGAUUUUAUAUUUUUUAUAUUAGAAUACAAUAUUUUAUAUUAGAAAAAAUUAGGCCAAAGACUUAAGAUGGGCUUUUUGAUAUUGGCAAAUUAAUUACCAACACUUCAGCAACUGCAUAACAUUAUAAAUCUAUAAAUGCUUUUCCAGCAAAUAGGGAAGACAAAACUUUUGUCAGCUGUGCUGCUUUUAACACAGGAAACAAAAUGUGAAGUGUAAAUUACUGAGCAGCAGUCUAGUGUUUUAUACUGCGAUAAAGAGUUACAAAAGAUGAAGUCUGUCUUUAUGUCUCUUUUGUUGGUCAGUUGGUUAACUUUAGAGACAUGUCAAGAUGCGGAUUCAGAGGAUUAUACAGGAAGUGGUGACAAUGAGCAUGUAACGGCGAAAA